GCACUGGUGGCGCAAUCGGUAGACGCGAUGGUCUCAGAAGCCAUUGGGGCAACCCUUACGAGUUCAAGUCUCGCCCAGUGCACCA
This 85-nucleotide transfer RNA is filed under the name Bacilli bacterium. RNAcentral describes it as "tRNA-Leu". It matches the Rfam family "tRNA". From Rfam's summary of the family: Transfer RNA (tRNA) molecules are approximately 80 nucleotides in length. Their secondary structure includes four short double-helical elements and three loops (D, anti-codon, and T loops). The record is from RNAcentral. Lineage: Bacteria; Bacillati; Bacillota; Bacilli.